AUAGCUCUGGAAAUGGCGCUGC
RNAcentral lists this microRNA (22 nucleotides) under Columba livia (rock pigeon). RNAcentral's name for it is "Cli-Mir-458-as_3p (mature (guide))". Lineage: Eukaryota; Metazoa; Chordata; Aves; Columbiformes; Columbidae. The record is from RNAcentral.